UGGGGAAUCUUGCACACUGGGGGAAACCCUGAUGCAGCGACGCCGCGUGAGCGAUGAAGGUUUUCGAAUCGUAAAGCUCUGUCCUAUGGGAAGAUAAUGACGGUACCAUAGGAGGAAGCCCCGGCUAACUACGUGCCAGCAGCCGCGGUAAUACGUAGGGGGCGAGCGUUGUCCGGAAUUACUGGGCGUAAAGGGUUCGCAGGCGGCAUGACAAGUCCGAUGUAAAAGGCGAAAGCUCAACUUUCGUAAGCAUCGGAAACUGUCAAGCUGGAGUGAAGGAGAGGCAAGUGGAAUUCCUAGUGUAGCGGUGGAAUGCGUAGAUAUUAGGAGGAAUACCGGUGGCGAAGGCGACUUGCUGGACUUCAACUGACACUGAGGAACGAAAGCGUGGGUAGCAAACAGG
Molecule: ribosomal RNA, 403 nt
Filed under: bacterium
Lineage: Bacteria
Description: partial 16S ribosomal RNA
Rfam family: Bacterial small subunit ribosomal RNA
Source: RNAcentral